UUGCGCGGCGGUAUACGCUUGUAAGUUUAGGUGUGUCGUCAUACAGAGAAGGCCAGUAGCUCGAGAGCAACCAAAGGCAUAUAAGCGCUGAGCGUGAAGGCGGCGUAUGUGCACCACCGGCAGACCCUCAUGCGAGAGGCUCGUUCGGGCUGAAGUCAGUCAUGAUUUCCAAUGGACCAAAGAAGCAAAACGAUAGAGGCGUAAACUAUACGCAUCGGUGAAUGGCAAGAAACGCCUCCAAUCACCGUGCAAGCGCAUGUGCGCAUGGCGGAAAGGAGGUGACACGUGAUGGUAAAGGCUCUCCUCUCUCCUCUCUCUUGCCGACACUUGUGUGCUGCCCUCGCUCUCGUGUGUGUGUGUGUGUGUGUGUGUGUGUGUGUGUGCUGCGUCGUGUUGUGAAUUGAGGUGUCUUAAUGGCCUCCAUUCCUUUUCUAGGGAUUCACAAAGCUUUUCACCGCCACACGGGGAUACCUUAGCGCACACACGCAUGCAACGCCCCUGCACGUGCUGCAACUUUAGAUGCGUGUCUCUCUACUCUGUUUCGUGCAUGUCCUCCCCACUCCCCUCUGCUUUUCUCUCCUGUCUUUCGCACAG
RNAcentral lists this unclassified non-coding RNA (594 nucleotides) under Leishmania donovani. RNAcentral's name for it is "gene:unknown". Lineage: Eukaryota; Euglenozoa; Kinetoplastea; Trypanosomatida; Trypanosomatidae. The record is from RNAcentral.